This 133-nucleotide small RNA is filed under the name Chrysemys picta bellii (western painted turtle). RNAcentral's name for it is "TUC338 (ENSCPBG00000006838.1)". Lineage: Eukaryota; Metazoa; Chordata; Testudines; Emydidae. The record is from RNAcentral.
UUGAUUGAUUUGAAUGCAUUCAUAAAAUAGCUAUGAUAUGAGCAGUCCCAGCAAUAUGCCUCAGCCCUCUUCUGGAGGAUCUACCUCUUGAGGGUGAGAUGUAAUUUGGUUUCCCUUCAAUCCUUUGGCCUUU